AACGAACGCUGGCGGCAUGCCUAACACAUGCAAGUCGAACGAGAUCUUCGGGUCUAGUGGCGCACGGGUGCGUAACGCGUGGGAAUCUGCCCUUUGGUUCGGAAUAACAGUUGGAAACGACUGCUAAUACCGGAUGAUGACGAAAGUCCAAAGAUUUAUCGCCAGAGGAUGAGCCCGCGUAGGAUUAGCUAGUUGGUGUGGUAAAGGCGCACCAAGGCGACGAUCCUUAGCUGGUCUGAGAGGAUGAUCAGCCACACUGGGACUGAGACACGGCCCAGACUCCUACGGGAGGCAGCAGUGGGGAAUAUUGGACAAUGGGCGAAAGCCUGAUCCAGCAAUGCCGCGUGAGUGGUGAAGGCCUUAGGGUUGUAAAGCUCUUUUACCCGGGAUGAUAAUGACAGUACCGGGAGAAUAAGCUCCGGCUAACUCCGUGCCAGCAGCCGCCGCAG
This 449-nucleotide ribosomal RNA is filed under the name uncultured bacterium. Its description in RNAcentral is "partial 16S ribosomal RNA". It matches the Rfam family "Bacterial small subunit ribosomal RNA", at positions 29 to 523 of the family's 1533-position model. The record is from RNAcentral.